RNAcentral lists this ribosomal RNA (378 nucleotides) under uncultured bacterium. RNAcentral describes it as "bacterial SSU rRNA". It matches the Rfam family "Bacterial small subunit ribosomal RNA", at positions 524 to 898 of the family's 1533-position model. The record is from RNAcentral.
UACGUAGGGGCCAAGCGUUGUUCGGAUUUACUGGGCGUAAAGGGCGCGUAGGCGGCAUGACAAGUCACUUGUGAAAUCUCCGGGCUUAACUCGGAACGGCCAAGUGAUACUGUCAAGCUAGAGUGCAGAAAGGGCAAUCGGAAUUCUUGGUGUAGCGGUGAAAUGCGUAGAUAUCAAGAGGAACACCUGAGGCGAAGGCGGGUUGCUAGGCUGACACUGACGCUGACAGCGCGAAAGCCAGGGGAGCAAACGGGAUUAGAUACCCCGGUAGUCCUGGCCCUAAACGAUGAAUACUUGGUGUCUGGAGUUAUUAAUGCUCUGGGUGCCGUAGCUAACGUUUUAAGUAUUCCGCCUGGGGAGUACGCUCGCAAGAGUGAA